CAUGGACAUAUUGUUUAUGGGGGAGAACCAUGCGACUCCUCACAUGCUCCAAACUUAUACUGCAUGUUUUCCUGUCUCCACCAUUAGGUUUUGGACACACUGGCUUUCUUUUUCUUCCCAGGAGAUAUUAAGUUCACUUUACCUCAGGACCUUUGCAACAGUUCUACCCUGUGCUUGGAUUGAUCUGCCACAGAAACUUAAAGUCCAGCUGAUUCUCAUUCUUCAGAUUCCAGGGUGAGUGCUGAGUCCUAAGUGUUAAGUGGUUGCAAGGGACCCCAGAAUCACACUGGAGGUGAAACAGUGACAGAAUGGGCACUUCCAGUAAGACACUGAAGACUGGCUCCACAUCAACGCACUCAGGGACUGGAGGUAGAGCUUUUGGAAAUAGAGAGAAUUAGCAUUUAGAAACUGCAGUCUCAGAGAACUGUGAGAAGGGUUUCAGGCACUGAGAUGAAGGAGCUCCUAGCAGCUCAGCCCAACAUGGAGUUGUAAGCAAGUACUACAACACAGAGUAAGAAAAGCCACAAUAAGGUAAAUAUUGAUCAUCUUUAUUUUCUAGGCAGAUUUUAUUUUCUAUAUUGUAGAUUUUGCUACUAUUCUACUUUAAAUGAACUUAUCUCAAUUCAUAGUUCAGUUAAUCUUGAUUUAUUGUAGAAAUUCUUAAAAUGUUAUCCCCUUUAAAGAAAAUAGCUAAAUUUUGUACUAUAAUUUUUAACCCCAUAACACAUCAAAUAAGUAGAGUAUAAAAUGUAAUAUUUCAAUAUAAUGCAUUUAGGCAAAUAUAAAGUGUACUAAUUAAGUUUAUACUACUUUUUAAAAUCAGAAAAUAUCCUGUGAACAAAACUUAGAUUAUACAUCAUAUUUGAUGAACCCCAAAGAAGGACAGGCCUGCAUAUGGUUUAUAGGGUAUAAAUGCUGCUUAUUACAGGAUAUUUUAUUCUAACUCUAUCUCAGAAGAAAAAAGUGGAAUAAAAACCAAUGUUAUGGAAAAUAACUGAAUAUUUUAGUUUUGGUGCUAGAGAGAAUCUAUUUUUCAUUUUUAUUUAAGCAGACUCUAUGACUACAUGUAGAAAUGCUAGCAAUUGUAUCAUCUGGGUCCUAUAGAAGCCUGUGACCUUCUGGGCAGGGUGUGUCGAUUCACUGCUGUUAGAAAAGUAACCAGUAUUAAGUCAGGGCAGACUGGCUUGGAAUAAUGCAAAACCAAACCAGGAUAUCACAAUGUAAUCUAAUAACUUAUGUAGAAGAAGCUAAAAUGCAAAAUUUCAAAUAUUAGCUCUAAUCAAUAGUCACUGGAGAAAAUAGGUACAUGGGUUUAAAUUGUGAACUUUUGAAAUAGUUGUACAAAAGAGAAAGACCUUCGAAUCUUUAUGUUUUAGAAAUUUGAACACAGAGUGCUUCAGCAAAGAAGAAUCCCCUUUCUAACUCCUUUGCUGCUUGUGAAAUAUUUAUGCAGGUGAAAACGAAAGAAAUUUUUCCAUAUGAAGAAGUUAGUAAUGGAACUUGUCAUUCUCUUUUUGUAGUCAUAUAUUGACUGUAUGUCAUUCAGUUUCCUUGGCUUUUAGAGAAUGGUCACACCACAGAAUGACUAGGAGCAGAAAUAGUCUCCAAAUAGUCCAGAUUUGAUAUUUCAAUGUCUUAAAUAUACAUGUCAAUUAUAGAAAUAAUAUUAUGAACAUGGCCAGUCAGAAUCUGAAGCAUUACAACAUCAGAGCAGUCACAUUUUAUUGUAAUAAAAUGAAUGUGGGCUUUGGGGCACACUUACCUAUAUUCAAACUCAGGUGCUUCCACUUUCAGUGAGUGUUCAGACAAAUAUUUGUGGGUUCUUUCUUUUUCAUUUUUAAUGUUUAUGAGUACAUAGUAUUAUAUAUAUACACACACACACACACACACUUAUGGGGUACAGCAGACUUUUUAACAUAGGCAUACAAUGCUAGACAAAAAUUUUUAAUUUCACUUUAUUAAUAAUUAGUAGUAGUAGCACAGUCAAAACAGUAACAAUAACAUUUAUUGAGCAUUUACUGUGUUCCAGGCAUUAUUCUAAGUUCUUUUCUGUAUUCCUUUAAUUCUCACAAAAUCUAAUGAGAUAAGUAUAUUAACAUCCUCAUUUUACAGAAAAAAAAUUGUCACAAUUUUUGAAUAAUAGUCCCCAAGAACUAUUUGUAUACUAGAAUUUCUUGAAAAUGUUUUUAAUUACACACUAUGUAAAUAUGUAAAAUGUAUAUAAUGGAUAUCUUGAAGAGAUAAAUCUCUGUUAGUAGGUAUUUAUUAAAAGGUAGGUAUAAUUUUAUUAUUGUA
Non-coding RNA from Chlorocebus sabaeus (green monkey), 2295 nucleotides. NCBI's taxonomy places the organism in Eukaryota, Metazoa, Chordata, Mammalia, Primates, Cercopithecidae. The record is from RefSeq and is a predicted model, not a curated record.